UACGUAGGUGCCCAGCGUUGUCCGGAUUUACUGGGCGUAAAGAGCGCGCAGGCGGUCGUUCAAGUCGGGUGUGAAAGCCCCCGGCUCAACUGGGGAGGGUCACUCGAUACUGAUCGACUUGAAGGCAGGAGAGGGAAGCGGAAUUCCCGGUGUAGUGGUGAAAUGCGUAGAUAUCGGGAGGAACACCAGUGGCGAAGGCGGCUUCCUGGCCUGUUCUUGACGCUGAGGCGCGAAAGCUAGGGGAGCAAACGGG
This 253-nucleotide ribosomal RNA is filed under the name uncultured bacterium. Its description in RNAcentral is "partial 16S ribosomal RNA". It matches the Rfam family "Bacterial small subunit ribosomal RNA", at positions 524 to 776 of the family's 1533-position model. The record is from RNAcentral.